This 252-nucleotide ribosomal RNA is filed under the name uncultured bacterium. RNAcentral describes it as "partial 16S ribosomal RNA". It matches the Rfam family "Bacterial small subunit ribosomal RNA", at positions 524 to 776 of the family's 1533-position model. The record is from RNAcentral.
UACGUAGGUCCCGAGCGUUGUCCGGAUUUAUUGGGCGUAAAGCGAGCGCAGGUGGUUUAUUAAGUCUGGUGUAAAAGGCAGUGGCUCAACCAUUGUAUGCAUUGGAAACUGGUAGACUUGAGUGCAGAAGAGGAGAGUGGAAUUCCAUGUGUAGCGAUGAAAUGCGUAGAUAUAUGGAGGAACACCGGUGGCGAAAGCGGCUCUCUGGCCUGUAACUGACACUGAGGCUCGAAAGCGUGGGGAGCAAACAGG